UUCUUCUAAUCUUCUCCUCUUCUUCCUUCUCAAUCUCUUGUUUCUUUCAUCAGAGACCACACAAUGUGAAGUCUCUUUCCUCUUUCCUUCCACCAUCAUUUACAUCCACUAAGACAUCAGCUCAUCCACUUUCUUUGGUUAUACUUUCAUCAUACACCUUCUUUUAUUCUCAUCCAUGAGACUCCAUUCUCCCUUCCACUAAACCUCCACUUCCCAUCUACUAUAAAACCCCUCUCAUCCUUCUUUGGAGAGAGAGCUUUCUUUGUUUAUAAAACUUCUUAAGAAGUUUUGCUUUUUGAGAAGAAGCUUUCCUUCAUUUAUCUCUUCCACCAUAACAUCUUCAUCACUUCUCCUCUUCCAUACUCUUCUCCAUUACUUCUCCACUCAUCAUUCUUCCUUCAAACAAUUUCAUUCCAUCUCCUUCCAUCAUUUCCUCUACAGAUAUCCCAUAAGCUCUGUCUUAGCUCUGUUAACCCAUGUGAGUUUUUUGUAAAUAAGAAUAUUUAUGGUAUGAUUAGUUAUGUAUUAGCAUAUAUUAGCACUCGUGAUUUGUAUUUAAGUUUGUUUAAGCUUUAUUAGUAUACG
This 585-nucleotide long non-coding RNA is filed under the name Elaeis guineensis (African oil palm). Its description in RNAcentral is "long non-coding RNA (EGUI_LNC056561)". Lineage: Eukaryota; Viridiplantae; Streptophyta; Magnoliopsida; Arecales; Arecaceae. The record is from RNAcentral.